UUUGUGAUUCCUAUUUUUAUGUUUUAUUUUCCCACUGUACAGCAAGGGGAUCAAGUUAUCCUUACGUGUAUACAUUACAAUUACAUACCCCCCCACCCUUUGUUCUGUUUCUGCUGAGCCACGACAGGAACUCUGAAAGAUUGUAUGUUAAAAGGACGAUGGUGUCUUCCGGGCUUGUUCCGUAAAACAGCAAUCUUGUCACUUUUUAAAAUCCUGGUGGGUUUCUCUCCAUCUUAGGCUGAGGAAAUGAUGGCUGCACACUGACCAGUGGAGGCAAGUGCCAGGCCUGCAGCAGCAGGGUGACAGGCCCGGGGCCUUCGGGGGAAGGUGACUAAGGCUCCGCUGCCGGUUCCUCUCUGGCUCAUAAGGGUUAAGACUGGUAUCCUUGGCCUGUUCUUUCCCCCUGUGAGAGAAGAACAGAUCUCACCACCAGCUCAGGCCCAAGUCGUGAAUGUCCUUUGUCUGCGAGGCCCUGGGAGGACAGCCCCAGGCCUGCCUGCUUCACUUUUCCGUGUCCAGCCGGCAGCAGGGGCCCUUGGGCCCUUGACCGUUCAUGAAUCAUUUUUGAAAAAUUGCUCUUUGCCUGGCACUGUGCUAGGCCCUGAGAAUACAGUAGUGCUCAGUGAAGAUUUGUUGAUGGACCGAGUCAUACAAUUCAAAUUUAAAAAUACCUAGAAGUUCCCGUCCCGGCUCAUCAGGUUCAGGAACUGAUGUGGUCUCUGUGAGGAUGCGGGUUCGAUCCCUGGCCUCCCUCAGUGGGUUAAGAAUCCAGCUUUGGAUUUCUUGAUUAUUUUUCUUAAAAUCUGGUCCCAGCUCCAAGUCUCUAGUGUCGUAAAAGGCAUCAGGAUAGUCUUGCUCCGUCCCUGAGCCAGAAAGGCUGCUCUUCUGAUGGCGCGUGUGAAGCACACCCGAGUCCUGGGAGUGAGUCCUUUCAAACCGUCCUCUCGCUUCCCUCCUCUUUUUCCUGCUGAUACCGAGUCGUGGUCUCUGCCUUGGUAAUGCUGUCCUCACUGCCACCAGAUGUUUAUUAAGACA
Molecule: long non-coding RNA, 1035 nt
Filed under: Sus scrofa (pig)
Lineage: Eukaryota; Metazoa; Chordata; Mammalia; Artiodactyla; Suidae
Description: lncRNA (ENSSSCG00050077767.1)
Source: RNAcentral